GGGAAGCAGGAGGGACCAUCCUCCAAGCCUAAAUACUACCUAGUGACCGAUAGCGCAUAGUACCGUGAGGGAAAGGUGAAAAGAACCCCGGGAGGGGAGUGAAAUAGAACCUGAAACCCUGCACUUACAAGCUGUGGGAGCACAUUACUUGUGUGACCGCGUACUUUUUGUAGAACGGGCCAACGAGUUACGUUAAGUAGCAAGGUUAAGCACUUAAGGUGUGGAGCCGUAGCGAAAGCGAGUCUUAAAUGGGCGAUUAAGUUACUUGGCGUAGACCCGAAACCGGGCGACCUAUCCAUGAGCAGGUUGAAGCGAAAGUAAAAUUUCGUGGAGGACCGAACCCACGAGCGUUGAAAAGCUCGGGGAUGACUUGUGGAUAGCGGUGAAAUUCCAAUCGAGCCCGGAGAUAGCUGGUUCUCCCCGAAAUAGCUUUAGGGCUAGCCUCAAGCGUAGAGAAACGGAGGUAGAGCACUGAAUGUCCUAGGGGGUAUUGCACUUACCGAAGACUAUCAAACUCCGAAUGCCGUAUUCUUUUGCUUGGGAGUCAGACUAUGGGUGAUAAGAUUCAUAGUCAAGAGGGCAACAGCCCAGAUCGUCAGCUAAGGUCCCUAAAUGUAAGUUAAGUGGUAAAGGAUGUGGAAUUGCACAGACAACCAGGAUGUUGGCUUAGAAGCAGCCACUCAUUUAAAGAGUGCGUAAUAGCUCACUGGUCGAGUGAUCCUGCGCCGAAAAUUUCCGGGGCUAAAACGUACUACCGAAGCUACGGCAUCAUUUAUGAUGGGUAGGGGAGCUUCGUAUGCAGGCUGAAGCAUGACCGUAAGGACAUGUGGACAGUAUACGAGUGAGAAUGUUGGCAUGAGUAGCGAGAUGUGGGUGAGAAUCCCACAGGCCGUAAACCCAAGGUUUCCAGGGGAAGGUUCGUCCGCCCUGGGUUAGUCAGGACCUAAGCCGAGGCCGAAAGGCGUAGGUGAUGGACAACAGGUUGAUAUUCCUGUACCGCCAAUAAGCGUUUGAGAGAUGGAGUGACACAGUAGGAUAAGCUAACCGUACUGUUGGUUAUGUACGGCUAAGCAUUGAGGCAGUCUAAAUAGGCAAAUCCGUUUAGACAAUGCUAGGAUGUGAUGGGGAAGCCCUUCGGGGCGAAGUAGCUGAUUUCACACUGUCAAGAAAAGCUUCUAUCGAGUUUAAAGGCGCCCGUACCGUAAACCGACACAGGUGGGUGAGGAGAGUAUCCUAAGGCCAGCGAGAGAACUGUUGUUAAGGAACUCGGCAAAAUGACCCCGUAACUUCGGGAGAAGGGGUGCCUGUCUAUGACAGGCCGCAGAGAAUAGGCCCAAGCGACUGUUUACCAAAAACACAGGUUUCUGCUAAGUCGCAAGACGAUGUAUAGGAGCUGACGCCUGCCCGGUGCUGGAAGGUUAAGGGGAUCUGUUAGAGCAAUCGAAGCAGUGAACUUAAGCCCCAGUAAACGGCGGCCGUAACUAUAACGGUCCUAAGGUAGCGAAAUUCCUUGUCGGGUAAGUUCCGACCCGCACGAAAGGCGUAACGAUUUGGGCACUGUCUCAACAA
This 1569-nucleotide ribosomal RNA is filed under the name human gut metagenome. RNAcentral describes it as "bacterial LSU rRNA". It matches the Rfam family "Bacterial large subunit ribosomal RNA", at positions 438 to 2027 of the family's 2925-position model. The record is from RNAcentral.